CAAUAGCGAAUACUAAUUCUGCUGCAGUUAAAAGCUCGUAGUUGAACUUCUGGUAGGGCGGAUCCGGUCGUUGGGCGAAUGCCCUCUGUUACUGUGUGUCUCGUCUGGCCAUCCUCGGCAACGCAAGUUGUCGUCUUUCACUGUAAAAAAUUAGGGUGUUUCAAGCAAAAGUUAUUUGGAAUAUAUUAGUAUGGGAUGAUAAGAUAGGCUCUGGAUGCUAUUUUGUUGGUUUGCACAUUUAGAGAAUGAUUAACAGGGACAGUUGGGGGUAUUCAUAUUUACAUGUCAGAGGUGAAAUUCUUGGAUUUUGGAAAGAUGAACUACUGCGAAGGCAUUUACCAAGGAUGUUUUCAUUAAUCAAGAACGAAAGUUAGGGGAUCGAAGAUGAUUAGAUACCAU
RNAcentral lists this ribosomal RNA (399 nucleotides) under uncultured eukaryote. Its description in RNAcentral is "bacterial SSU rRNA". It matches the Rfam family "Eukaryotic small subunit ribosomal RNA", at positions 592 to 1018 of the family's 1831-position model. The record is from RNAcentral.